Non-coding RNA from Podarcis lilfordi (Lilford's wall lizard), 308 nucleotides. The record is from the annotation of a GenBank genome assembly. NCBI's taxonomy places the organism in Eukaryota, Metazoa, Chordata, Lepidosauria, Squamata, Lacertidae.
AGGAGGAUCACCUCAUAGUCUUAUUUAUUUGUAUUAAAUACUAUAUAGCAUACAAUAGACUACUUAAAAAAUAAGUGUCUAUGAAUGUGUCUUAUGGCAAUAUCUUUGCAGCCGUUGGCCAGAAAAGAGGUAAGUAGGUGCUGGGUUACUAUAAUUUUCUCAGAAUUUGGGUAGAAUACGGCCUUCACAUACCUAACCUCCUUUAUCUUUUCAGGCAUUAGGGACUGGCUUUUUUAAAAUAUAAAGCUGAACAUUCAGAGAAGAGGCACAGAAUAUCCACAGCCCGCCCCAAGCAUGCAUCCACCCCC